CUUUCCCCUAGAGGCCUGGCUGGUGUGGCUGCUGUGUCCCAUGCCCAUCAGUAGGGGGCAGAGAGGAGAAAGUUUAUAGCUAAACUCAGUGUUCUGACCUAUAAACAUCUGAAUGAUUAGUCAUCUAACAUU
This is a small nucleolar RNA of Apodemus sylvaticus (European woodmouse), 132 nucleotides long. RefSeq annotates it as small nucleolar RNA SNORA17. The record is from RefSeq and is a predicted model, not a curated record. The transcript has a single exon. NCBI's taxonomy places the organism in Eukaryota, Metazoa, Chordata, Mammalia, Rodentia, Muridae.